RNAcentral lists this long non-coding RNA (329 nucleotides) under Elaeis guineensis (African oil palm). RNAcentral's name for it is "long non-coding RNA (EGUI_LNC053654)". Lineage: Eukaryota; Viridiplantae; Streptophyta; Magnoliopsida; Arecales; Arecaceae. The record is from RNAcentral.
CUCUCGAGUCUCCCAUCUAGUGCCUGAUCCACCUCUACUUGGAGCUCCACCUCAUUCUGGGCUCCUCCUGGCUCCUGAAGCUCCACUUCACACUGGGCUCCCUAUCAUGUAGUAAUAUCCUCUCAUCCUCUUCUUUUCCUCCAAAAUAAUCCUAUCGCCGUGCAACACCUUCAGGAUGCCUCCACCAGCUACCAUCCUGUAGCUUCUCGAAUCCAAUCUACUCAGUGAGAUAAGAUUCUGCCUGAAAUCGGAUAUGUAUCGGACCUCUCUCAAUCUUCUCACUGCACCAUUAUGUGUCCUCCAACUGAUCAUCCCAAUACCUCUGAUCG